RNAcentral lists this ribosomal RNA (520 nucleotides) under uncultured Glomus. RNAcentral describes it as "SSU rRNA". It matches the Rfam family "Eukaryotic small subunit ribosomal RNA", at positions 569 to 1092 of the family's 1831-position model. Lineage: Eukaryota; Fungi; Glomeromycota; Glomeromycetes; Glomerales; Glomeraceae. The record is from RNAcentral.
AGCAGCCGCGGUAAUUCCAGCUCCAAUAGCGUAUAUUAAAGUUGUUGCAGUUAAAAAGCUCGUAGUUGAAUUUCGGGGUUAGUAGUUUGGUCAUGCCUCUGGUAUGUACUGGUCUCACUGAUUCCUCCUUCCUGAUGAGCCGUAAUGCCAUUAAUUUGGUGUUGCGGGGAAUUUGGACUGUUACUUUGAAAAAUUAGAGUGUUUAAAGCAAGCUAACGCUUGAAUACAUUAGCAUGGAAUAAUGAAAUAGGACGUUCGAUCCUAUUUUGUUGGUUUCUAGGAUUGACGUAAUGAUUAAUAGGGAUAGUUGGGGGCAUUAGUAUUCAAUUGUCAGAGGUGAAAUUCUUGGAUUUAUUGAAGACUAACUACUGCGAAAGCAUUUGCCAAGGAUGUUUUCAUUAAUCAAGAACGAAAGUUAGGGGAUCGAAGACGAUCAGAUACCGUCGUAGUCUUAACCAUAAACUAUGCCGACUAGGGAUCGGAUGAUGUUAAUUUUUAAUGACUCAUUCGGCGCCUUAAC